This 589-nucleotide ribosomal RNA is filed under the name Clostridioides difficile. Its description in RNAcentral is "bacterial LSU rRNA". It matches the Rfam family "Bacterial large subunit ribosomal RNA", at positions 1454 to 2052 of the family's 2925-position model. The record is from RNAcentral. Lineage: Bacteria; Bacillati; Bacillota; Clostridia; Peptostreptococcales; Peptostreptococcaceae.
CCGUUUGAGAGAAGGGAUGACACAGUAGGAUAAGCUAAGCACACUGUUGGUUAUGUGUGCCCAAGCAUUGAGGCAGUCGAAGUAGGUAAAUCCGCUUUGAUAAUGCUGAGGUGUGGUGGGGAGCGAACUUUAGUAGCGAAGUAGCUGAUUUCACACUGUCACGAAAAGUCUCUAUCGAGGUUAACGGUACCCGUACCGCAAACCGACACAGGUAGGUGAGGAGAGUAUCCUAAGGCCAGCGAGCGAACUGUUGUUAAGGAACUCGGCAAAAUGACCCCGUAACUUAGGGAUAAGGGGUGCCACCAUCAGGUUGCCGCAGAGAAUAGGCCCAAGCGACUGUUUACCAAAAACAUAGGUUUCUGCUAAGUCGCAAGACGAUGUAUAGGCGCUGCCGCCUGCCCGGUGCUGGAAGGUUAAGGGGAUCUGUUAGAGUAAUCGAAGCAGUGAACUUAAGCCCCAGUAAACGGCGGCCGUAACUAUAACGGUCCUACGGUAGCGAAAUUCCUUGUCGGGUAAGUUCCGACCCGCACGAAAGGCGUAACGAUUUUGGCACUAUCCCAACAACAGACUCGGUGAAAUUGUAAUUCCG